AUUAACAGGCAGUCGCUUAAAGUCGCCACGUCCUGUGGCAACAUCGGCACUAGUACGUCCUGUACG
Molecule: small RNA, 66 nt
Filed under: Psychrobacillus sp. OK028
Lineage: Bacteria; Bacillati; Bacillota; Bacilli; Caryophanales; Bacillaceae
Description: Bacillaceae-1 RNA
Rfam family: Bacillaceae-1 RNA
Source: RNAcentral